Molecule: ribosomal RNA, 499 nt
Filed under: uncultured bacterium
Lineage: Bacteria
Description: partial 16S ribosomal RNA
Rfam family: Bacterial small subunit ribosomal RNA
Source: RNAcentral
AUUGAACGCUAGCGGGAUGCCUUACACAUGCAAGUCGAACGGCAGCGCGGACUUCGGUCUGGCGGCGAGUGGCGAACGGGUGAGUAAUGUAUCGGAACGUGCCCAGUAGCGGGGGAUAACUACUCGAAAGAGUAACUAAUACCGCAUACGCCCUACGGGGGAAAGGGGGGGAUCGCAAGACCUCUCACUAUUGGAGCGGCCGAUAUCGGAUUAGCUAGUUGGUGAGGUAAGGCUCACCAAGGCGACGAUCCGUAGCUGGUUUGAGAGGACGACCAGCCACACGGGGACUGAGACACGGCCCCGACUCCUACGGGAGGCAGCAGUGGGGAAUUUUGGACAAUGGGGGCAACCCUGAUCCAGCCAUUCCGCGUGUGCGAUGAAGGCCUUCGGGUUGUAAAGCACUUUUGGCAGGAAAGAAAUCGCACGGAUUAAUACUCUGUGUGGAUGACGGUACCUGCAGAAUAAGCACCGGCUAACUACGUGCCAGCAGCCGCCGUAA